GGACGUGAAAGCUCCUGGCUCAACUAGGAGAGGUCGUUCAAAACUGCCUGGCUAGAGGGCGACAGAGGGAGGUGGAAUUCCCGGUGUAGUGGUGAAAUGCGUAGAUAUCGGGAGGAACACCAGUGGCGAAGGCGGCCUCCUGGGUCGCUCCUGACGCUCAGACACGAAAGCUAGGGGAGCAAACGGGAUUAGAUACCCCGGUAGUCCUAGCUGUAAACGAUGUGGACUUGGCGUUGGUGGGGUCAAAUCCAUCAGUGCCGUAGCUAACGCGAUAAGUCCACCGCCUGGGGACUACGACCGCAAGGUUAAAACUCAAAGGAAUUGGCGGGGGCCCGCACAAGCAGCGGAGCGUGUGGUUUAAUUCGAUGCUACACGAAGAACCUUACCCGGGUUUGACAUCCAGGUGGUAGGGAACCGAAAGGCGACCGACCCUUCGGGGAGCCUGGACAGGUGCUGCAUGGCUGUCGUCAGCUCGUGUCGUGAGAUGUCCGGUUAAGUCCGGUAACGAGCGCAACCCUUGCUGUAUGUUAUACGUGUCAUACAGGACUGCCGGUUAGUGCCGGAGGAAGGCGGGGAUGACGUCAAGUCAGCAUGGCCUUUAUAUCCGGGGCUACACACACGCUACAAUGGCCAGUACAACAGGUUGCAAAACCACGAGGUGGAGCCAAUCCCCAAAACUGGCCUCAGUUCAGAUUGCAGGCUGCAACUCGCCUGCAUGAAGUCGGAGUUGCUAGUAACCGCGCGUCAGCUAUAGUGCGGUGAAUACGUUCUCGGGCCU
Molecule: ribosomal RNA, 778 nt
Filed under: uncultured bacterium
Lineage: Bacteria
Description: bacterial SSU rRNA
Rfam family: Bacterial small subunit ribosomal RNA
Source: RNAcentral